AAUGAACGCUGGCGGCGUGCAUAACACAUGCAAGUCGAACGAGAAAUUUCCGCUUCGGCGGGAAGAGUAAAGUGGCGCACGGGUGAGUAACGCGUGGGUAACCUGCCCCCGAAUUCGGGAUAACUUCGCGAAAGCGGCGCUAAUACCGGAUAUCGUCCCAGGGGCUUUGGUCUCUGGGAUGAAAGAUGACCUCUCCAUGGAAGUUGUCGUUCGGGGAGGGGCUCGCGUACCAUUAGCUUGUUGGUGGGGUAAUGGCCUACCAAGGCGACGAUGGUUAGCUGGUCUGAGAGGAUGAUCAGCCACACUGGCACUGAAACACGGGCCAGACUCCUACGGGAGGCAGCAGUGAGGAAUUUUGCGCAAUGGGGGAAACCCUGACGCAGCAACGCCGCGUGAGUGAAGAAGGCCUUCGGGUCGUAAAGCUCUGUCAAGUGGGAAAAACGUCAGACGAUGAACAGUCGUCAGGCUUGAUGGUACCACUGGAGGAAGCACCGGCUAACUCCGUGCCAGCAGCCGCGGUAAUACGGAGGGUGCAAGCGUUGUUCGGAAUUACUGGGCGUAAAGAGCGUGUAGGCGGCAAGGUAAGUCAGGCGUGAAAGCCCUGGGCUUAACCCAGGAAGUGCGUUUGAAACUGCCUCGCUAGAGUAUGGGAGAGGAGAGUGGAAUUCCCGGUGUAGAGGUGAAAUUCGUAGAUAUCGGGAGGAACACCCGUGGCGAAGCGACUCUCUGGACCAAUACUGACGCUGAGACGCGAAAGCGUGGGGAGCAAACAGGAUUAGAU
Molecule: ribosomal RNA, 781 nt
Filed under: uncultured organism
Description: bacterial SSU rRNA
Rfam family: Bacterial small subunit ribosomal RNA
Source: RNAcentral